GAUGAACGCUGGCGGCGUGCCUAACACAUGCAAGUCGAGCGAACAGACGAGGCGCUUGCUCCUUUCUCGUUAGCCGCGCACGUGAGAGUAACACGUGUAUCAUCUCCCUAUCAGACUGGGAUCAUCUCGGGAAACCGGAUCUUAUCCCGUAUAAUCUAUUGCAGCGCAUUGUUCAAUAGUGAGAUACGGUUUUUCUGUCUCUUAUAGCUGGAUCUGGGCCGCUUUAGAUAGUUGGGAAGGUCACGGCUUAUCAAGGCUACCAUGCGUAGCCGAACUAAGAGGGUGAUCGCCCACACUGGAGGUGGAACGGGGUCAAGAGUCCUACGGGAGGCAGCAGUAGGGAAUCGUACGCAGUGGGCGAAAGCUUGACGGAGCAAGGCCGAGUGAGUGAUGAAGGUCUUGGGAUCGUAAAACCCUGUUAUUAGGUGAGAACAAAUGUGUAAGUAACUAUGCACGUAUUGACGGUACCUAAUCAGAAAGCAACGGCUAACUACGUG
RNAcentral lists this ribosomal RNA (497 nucleotides) under uncultured bacterium. RNAcentral describes it as "partial 16S ribosomal RNA". It matches the Rfam family "Bacterial small subunit ribosomal RNA", at positions 28 to 507 of the family's 1533-position model. The record is from RNAcentral.